RNAcentral lists this unclassified non-coding RNA (209 nucleotides) under Glaciozyma martinii. RNAcentral's name for it is "partial internal transcribed spacer 2". The record is from RNAcentral. Lineage: Eukaryota; Fungi; Basidiomycota; Microbotryomycetes; Kriegeriales; Camptobasidiaceae.
ACUCUUCAACUCUACCGUUUCUUGUAAACGGUCAGAAGUUUGGAUUUUGAAUGUUGCUGGUCUUCGGAUCUUAGCUCGUUCGUAAUGCAUUAGCAUUUCUAAUUCGAAUUCGGAUUGACUCAGUGUAAUAGACUAUUCGCUGGGGACACUACUUGUAGUGGCCGAUAUUUAACUAAGGAAAGCUUCAAGCCUAUUGUAGUCAAUUUUAG